UACAGGGGGGGCAAGCGUUGUUCGGAAUUACUGGGCGUAAAGGGCCAGUAGGCGGCCAACUAAGUCAGACGUGAAAUCCCUCGGCUCAACCGGGGAACUGCGUCUGAUACUGGGCGGCUUGAAUUCGGGAGAGGAAUGCGGAAUUCCAGGUGUAGCGGUGAAAUGCGUAGAUAUCUGGAGGAACACCGGUGGCGAAGGCGGCAUUCUGGACCGACAUUGACGCUGAGGCGCGAAAGCCAGGGGAGCAAACGGG
Molecule: ribosomal RNA, 253 nt
Filed under: uncultured bacterium
Lineage: Bacteria
Description: partial 16S ribosomal RNA
Rfam family: Bacterial small subunit ribosomal RNA
Source: RNAcentral